Molecule: ribosomal RNA, 497 nt
Filed under: uncultured bacterium
Lineage: Bacteria
Description: partial 16S ribosomal RNA
Rfam family: Bacterial small subunit ribosomal RNA
Source: RNAcentral
GAUGAACGCUGGCGGCGUGCCUAAUACAUGCAAGUCGAGCGAACGGACGAGAAGCUUGCUUCUCUGAUGUUAGCGGCGGACGGGCGAGUAACACGUGGAUAACCUACCUAUAAGACUGGGAUAACUUCGGGAAACCGGAGCUAAUACCGGAUAAUAUUUUGAACCGCAUGGUUCAAAAGUGAAAGACGGUCUUGCUGUCUCUUAUAGAUGGAUCCGCGCUGCAUUAGCUAGUUGGUAAGGUAACGGCUUACCAAGGCAACGAUGCAUAGCCGACCUGAGAGGAUGAUCGGCCACACUGGAACUGAGACACGGUCCAGACUCCUACGGGAGGCAGCAGUGGGGAAUCUUCCGCAAUGGGCGAAAGCCUGACGGAGCAACGCCGCGUGAGUGAUGAAGGUCUUCGGAUCGUAAAACUCUGUUAUUAGGGAAGAACAUAUGUGUAAGUAACUGUGCACAUCUUGACGGUACCUAAUCAGAAAGCCACGGCUAACUACGUG